UAUAUAUAUAGAGAGAGAGAGAGAGAGAGAGAGAGAAACCCUAUACACAUGGUUUAGAAGAAGCAACAAAUUUUCAAAUUUAACCAAUAAAAACAACCCAAUAAAAAUUAUUCAACAAUCAAAUCCAUGCUCUGUUAACUAAGCACCUGUUUGAGCCCCAUUAAUUUACAUUACAUUACAUUCCAUUUCAUUUUUCUCUCUCUUAUUUUCAACCACACAAUCUUCUAUAAAAUAAUAUUACACAUAAAUCGAAAAAAUUUUCUUCAUUUUCAACCAUUCAUUUUUCAAAAAAAAUACUAUUUCACCCAUUAAUUUUUCAUGUAAUGGGAGCCAAACGGGGGCUAAAUUUGACAAUACGAAAAGUUACAUUGAUUUUGCUAAAUGUAAGUUUGUCGUUGGUUUUAAAAUGACGAAUACAGAUUUUGAGCUCAAUCUUCGCCGAAGACGUCGUUUCCUUUCAAACUUUCUACAAUCGUUGACUUUAGCAGAAGAAGGAGAAGAGAUGUUUUAAAAAAAAAAAAAGAACUACACAAUUGAGUAAAGAAAAUUCAAUUCCUCAUAUUCGGAGAACAAAAAUCAAGUAUCA
This 586-nucleotide long non-coding RNA is filed under the name Olea europaea subsp. europaea. Lineage: Eukaryota; Viridiplantae; Streptophyta; Magnoliopsida; Lamiales; Oleaceae. The record is from RNAcentral.